Fukomys damarensis (Damara mole-rat) is the source of this 1727-nucleotide long non-coding RNA. RefSeq lists it as uncharacterized. The record is from RefSeq and is a predicted model, not a curated record. Lineage: Eukaryota; Metazoa; Chordata; Mammalia; Rodentia; Bathyergidae. The transcript has 3 exons.
UGCUCAUGAUGAAGGUUUAUGUGAGUAACACCUGCUUGGCAGGGCGGUGGCUUCGGCUUUGGCUUGUUCUCUCUUCUCUAACGUAAGGGUGAUUGAAUCCAUGCAGGGAAAGUGCUUGCAACAUUAUAGUAAAUGCUUAGUAAUGUGAUCAUUAUUUAUCAUCAUUUCUCUUAAUAGUUGCUAUUUUAUUGUUGUCACCACCACCACCACCACCACCACCACCAUCAUCAUCAUCAUCAUCACCAUCUUCAGGCUGUGGAGACAUGGUGUUAAUUGGCCAUACAGUUCUAGUUCUCUGAGUUAUGAAUGGAUAGGAGAUGAUAGCAGGUGCAAAAGCCCAGCUGUAACCUGUGUAGGCUCAUUCUUCUCCAAGUGUGGCUACUAGAAGACGUAAAAUUGUAAAUGUGGUUCACAUCGUGUUUCUACUGAGCAUUGAGCAGUGCCUCAGAGCACAAGAAAGGAUCUGCUUAGCACAAGUGAGCAACUCAUGAGGAGAGGGUGGCUGCCAUUGUGAACACACACCAGAGCACACAGAUGAGCUCAGCGGGCUGGGGAUUUUUUCUUCUCUAGCGGUUGAAAGGAGAAAUACGAUGACAUCGUGGCAUCCGUGCUUUGCUUCAUUAUUGAAUUCAUUUGUGAACACACACCGGGCCCAUGGAAUUAAUACGUGCUGCACAGACUAUGGAGAAUGGCAACUAUAGUAACUGCUAAGGACAGGGAUCUAUGAAAUUCGAAAGCUUAAAAAUUGAAGCUUCUAAUCAGUUAGGAAGGUCAUAGAAAUCUGUUCUGAGGAAAUUAGCAAUCCAAGACCUGAAAGAUAAGUAAGAGUUAGCUAGGUAACUAGGAGAAGGUGAAGUAUUCUAGAUAGAGAUAACAGUACAUGCAGAGGGCCUGUGGCAGCAAGGUCAGGAAGAAAAUGUUGGGUGGCUAGAACAGAGUUACCAAUAAGAGAGAGAGAGUUAGUGAACCACGAUAAGGCCUUGGUUUUAUCCUAAAAGCACUGAAAUUUCAGGUUCAAAUUCAGGUGAGGGAAAAGGCUAUUUCAAAGGCAGUGUGGGUAAGCGAUGGUUUGUGUAAGACAGGAGCUGAGGGGUGACUGGGUGUGUGGCCGAUAUCAGGAGGCUCCUUCAUCCGAAGGGGGGUGGACCCAAAGAGGAGAGGAAGUCAGGGAGGGUGACUAAUCCCCACACAUCCUUCUGGUCUUGGCUUCUAAGUCAUUUCCUUGGGGAGCCCUUCUCUGACCCCAGCUUAGGCUGGACCCCCCACCCUCAGAAGUGUCUCCCCACCCUCCACUUCCCUUUUCACUGCUGCCAUGUCUUCCCUCAUGGUCUUUCCCCUUACUGCCGUGGCCUUAUCCAGGAGGGCAGGGCUUGAGGCCCAGGUCACUGCUAGCUGCUCCUCUCCUAGCCUGGGACCCGGCACUUGGUUGCAGUCAAAACCUAGAACUGAAAGAACGUUGGACAAGUGGGGCAUCCAUGAGAGAUGGGAUUUGUGAGCGCCUCGUUUCCUCUGGAUGCUCCCUCCCCCUGGCCCUCCCUCUCCCCCUCCUUUUGUCACUUCUGUAUUUUAUCCUAAAGCUGAGCUCCUCUGAGCUCCCUACUCACGGGCUUCCAUCUGAAAGCAUGGACAGGCAUAUAAGACAAUCUCUGAACUCUGGAUAUGAAGUAUCAGUUACCUGCCAAGGGCUGCAAUACGCAAUCACCACAGAAGAUCAAAUACCUUGAACC